RNAcentral lists this small nuclear RNA (23 nucleotides) under Arabidopsis thaliana (thale cress). Its description in RNAcentral is "snRNA_02710". Lineage: Eukaryota; Viridiplantae; Streptophyta; Magnoliopsida; Brassicales; Brassicaceae. The record is from RNAcentral.
GAUUCAAACCAUAAUUAAAAUGU